CGGCACGCCUAACACAUGCAAGUCGAACGGAGUUUAAGAGAGCUUGCUUUUUAAACUUAGUGGCGGACGGGUGAGUAACACGUGAGCAACCUGCCUUUCAGAGAGGAAUAGCUUCUGGAAACGGAUGGUAAUACCUCAUAACAUAUUGGUACGGCAUCGUAUUAAUAUCAAAGAUUUAUCGCUGAAAGAUGGGCUCGCGUCUGAUUAGCUGGUUGGUGAGGUAACGGCCCACCAAGGCAACGAUCAGUAGCCGGACUGAGAGGUUGAACGGCCACAUUGGGACUGAGACACGGCCCAGACUCCUACGGGAGGCAGCAGUGGGGAAUAUUGCACAAUGGGCGCAAGCCCUGAUGCAGCGAUGCCGCGUGAGGGAAGAAGGUUUUCGGAUUGUAAACCUCUGUCAUCGGGGACGAAAAUGACGGUACCCGAGAAGGAAGCUCCGGCUAACUACGUGCCAGCCGCGGC
This 465-nucleotide ribosomal RNA is filed under the name uncultured bacterium. Its description in RNAcentral is "bacterial SSU rRNA". It matches the Rfam family "Bacterial small subunit ribosomal RNA", at positions 40 to 518 of the family's 1533-position model. The record is from RNAcentral.